UCCCACAUUGAUUUCUUUAUUUUUCCAAAUCAGUUUCUCUUUUUUUUCUAAUUUCAUCUGAAAUUCCAUGAGUCUCCCGAUAGUUUUUCCGACU
Caenorhabditis elegans is the source of this 94-nucleotide non-coding RNA. The record is from Ensembl. NCBI's taxonomy places the organism in Eukaryota, Metazoa, Nematoda, Chromadorea, Rhabditida, Rhabditidae.